This is a long non-coding RNA of Anoplopoma fimbria (sablefish), 281 nucleotides long. RefSeq lists it as uncharacterized. The transcript is spliced from 3 exons. NCBI's taxonomy places the organism in Eukaryota, Metazoa, Chordata, Actinopteri, Perciformes, Anoplopomatidae. The record is from RefSeq and is a predicted model, not a curated record.
GGUACACUGACCCUGAAGGGAAGAGAGGGGAAAAGCUCAAACUUGCACACUGCAAAAAAACUCCUAACAAGGUGUGUGUCCCCCACCCUACAUCUGGAGAUUGACUCAAGCUAAGAUCAAAGUGUUUCCAUGAAUCGUUGUGGUACCUGGACCGUAGUCGUGCCUCCUGCUGUGAGCCGACUGACACCCACUGCUACUUCGAUUAUUAUUAUUAUUAGUCACAUUACUAUCCCUAUUUUCAUGGCUAUAAUUCUACUGUAAUAAUUGCUGCUGUUAUUAUA